This is a long non-coding RNA of Archocentrus centrarchus (flier cichlid), 233 nucleotides long. RefSeq lists it as uncharacterized. The record is from RefSeq and is a predicted model, not a curated record. The transcript has 3 exons. Lineage: Eukaryota; Metazoa; Chordata; Actinopteri; Cichliformes; Cichlidae.
CCUCUAAAACCACUCUGUGUGGGGAACAUGAGAGCCAGACCAAAGCUCAGAGGAACCCACCUGGACCUGGACCUGGAUCUGGACCUGGACCCAGCUGUGUGUCCUUAAAGAGUGACCGGUCUAAUGAUCACAUCAUUGAUUUUAAAGGUCAGCGUGCGUCUGCUGCAGAGAGAGUGGACCAGCAGAGCUCAGAGGGUCCCAGUGGUCAGUCUGCCCAGCAGCAUCAAACACAG